Molecule: ribosomal RNA, 253 nt
Filed under: uncultured Alphaproteobacteria bacterium
Lineage: Bacteria; Pseudomonadati; Pseudomonadota; Alphaproteobacteria
Description: partial 16S ribosomal RNA
Rfam family: Bacterial small subunit ribosomal RNA
Source: RNAcentral
GACGGAGGAGGCUAGCGUUGUUCGGAAUUACUGGGCGUAAAGCGCGCGCGGGCGGUCUAGCAAGUCAGGGGUGAAAGCCCGAGGCUCAACUUCGGAACGGCCCUUGAGACUGUUGGACUGGAGACCGGGAGAGGAGAGUGGAAUUCCCAGUGUAGAGGUGAAAUUCGUAGAUAUUGGGAAGAACACCAGUGGCGAAGGCGGCUCUCUGGCCCGGACCUGACGCUGAGGCGCGAAAGCGUGGGGAGCAAACAGG